This 87-nucleotide transfer RNA is filed under the name Labilithrix sp. RNAcentral's name for it is "tRNA-Ser". It matches the Rfam family "tRNA". From Rfam's summary of the family: Transfer RNA (tRNA) molecules are approximately 80 nucleotides in length. Their secondary structure includes four short double-helical elements and three loops (D, anti-codon, and T loops). The record is from RNAcentral. RNAcentral also lists the same sequence under 3 other names. Lineage: Bacteria; Pseudomonadati; Myxococcota; Polyangiales; Labilitrichaceae.
GGAGAGGUGACCGAGUGGUCGAAGGUGCAUGAUUGGAAAUCAUGUGUACCGGCAACGGUACCGCGGGUUCGAAUCCCGCCCUCUCCG